Molecule: long non-coding RNA, 1901 nt
Filed under: Homo sapiens (human)
Lineage: Eukaryota; Metazoa; Chordata; Mammalia; Primates; Hominidae
Description: HSALNT0272230
Source: RNAcentral
AGAAAAGGGCUCAGAAGAUAAUAUAUGGUGACAACAGUUACAGCCUCAGAAGGAGAGGUGGCCCAGAGGCUGAAUGAAGAUGAGUGAAGGUAGAUGUGAUUCCCUUAAAUUGGGGCAAAAAGGGACAAAAACAGCAGAAAAUCUGUAUCUUUAAAGACAUAUGUAAUGUAUUUCAGUCUAUCAACUUCUCUACAUAAACUUUAGCUUUUAAAAAUAUGUUAACGUAAGUUUGACCUUUAGUGUGUUUCUACCUGCAGGGUAUUCUUAUUGGAGGUUUGUUUAAAAGCAUACAUUUCUGAUCUUGAAUGGGUUACUACAAAUCCAUUAUAAUUGUUUCAUAUUUCAUGUUGCAGAUACAAGUAGGGUUGAAAAAACAGUGAGUUAAAGGCAAAAGGAUGGCCGGGAACAUGGCUUUUUUAUUCUCUGGGUUUCUAUCCAGAUUUCUGUUCUUUUGCAUAAUGACUCCAAUCUGUUGUGCACCUGUAGUUCUGGGAAAUGAUUCUUUUUUAAUCGCUUCAACAGAGACAUGGAUGUUGGAGUUGCCAACUACUAAGCUGAAAAACUCCAUCUAUGCUCAGAAGAACAUUUAAUCCACUUACUUUUUCUCUUUUAUUUAAAGAUUAGCACUCAUCAGGCAUUUGUGGUAAUAUGCAAAUAUAUACAUAGGACAUAUAUGUAUAUUUAUAAGCAAAAUGUGAAUUGGAAAAACAUUUGAAUGUAGAAACAAGACCACAGGAGUAAAUUUGUACAAGGCACUAGUAAAAGUGACAUGUAAUAUGGGGUUCUUGUAGUGAGUUUCAUAAUCCAAUUUUUGCUCCUUGAUUUGAAUGGGCACCCAAAAUAACACAUGCUAUCCUAAUCCCUACUCCCCAUAUUUUGGGUUUUAUUUUUAUAGAAUACAUAUGGGCUUAUAUAAACAUUAAUCUCAACAUGUUCUAAUUUACAUAUGUAAGCUAAUUUUUAUUUCUAGAGAUAACAGAACAAAACUCAAAACAUUUGACAUAAAAUUAUUGGAACAAUUAACAGUUUGACCUAUUAAACACAUUAUUGUCCUCUAUGAACAGAGGGACUGUCUGAAAAAAAGAACAAGUUGUCUGCAUUUUAAAGUGAGAGAUAAGCAUCAAGGUGUCAAUUUCUAUUUACACCUUAUGUGUUCUUAUUUGUUUCACAGAUUCAUAUGUUAUAGACACAAUAUUCUAUUCACAAUUUUCACGACGUCUAUACCAAAGUAAGUAUUCAACAAGUAGCCAUGAAAUGAGGAAAUCUGGUAAUAUACAUGAGCUAUUAGAAUUGUUUUAAUGUAAACAUUGUCUAGAGAAACAACUAAUGUGCAUAUUUCAUAACCGGGAAAUGCUUUUUAUUCACAUUUUAGUACCAUAAGAUUGACUAAUUAGAAAUAGGGAAGCUGUUUGGUAUUAGUCCUACUUUUGGGAACAUAUGGUCUAAAGUAAUAUUGGACAAAUGGAUAUUUUAAUUGAUCACAAAUGAGAAAGUAGUUAGAAAACUUCUAGUUUAAACAGGUUAUAUACCCAGAAGUAUUGCAAAUAUUGGAGACAGAAAAAUUAUUGUAGCUUGCAUUUAGACUCAAAAUUGAUAUUCCCUCCACAUCAUGCCCUCACAGAACUCAGAGGAGUAUGAUCUGCCAGAUCGACUCCCUUUGUGUAACUGAUGCAGAAAUGAGACUCAAAAGGGUUAAGUAGUUUUCCCAAGAUGUCAUAGCGAGAGUCAAACUGGGGGCUUAGAAAUGACUCUGACUCAUAACUUUUAAUCAACUGUUUUGACAUUUUAACCUAUCUAAUUGUGUAGGAGGUAAUUAUAUUGUCAGACUUUGGAAUGAUGUUGUUUCCAGUAAAGUUUUGUUUUAAUUAUAAAUAGGAAUUUUCCAGCAAUAAAAAAUUUCC